This 750-nucleotide ribosomal RNA is filed under the name uncultured Gammaproteobacteria bacterium. Its description in RNAcentral is "bacterial SSU rRNA". It matches the Rfam family "Bacterial small subunit ribosomal RNA", at positions 61 to 804 of the family's 1533-position model. Lineage: Bacteria; Pseudomonadati; Pseudomonadota; Gammaproteobacteria. The record is from RNAcentral.
GUCGAGCGGUAACAGGUGUAGCAAUACAUGCUGACGAGCGGCGAACGGGUGAGUAAUGCUUUGGAAUCUUCCCAGUAGUGGGGAAUAACCAGUCGAAAGAUUGGCUAAUACCGCAUACGUCUGUGAAGAGAAAGCGGGGGAUCGUAAGACCUCGCGCUAUUGGAUGAGCCAAAGUCGGAUUAGCUAGUUGGUGGGGUAAUGGCCUACCAAGGCGACAAUCCGUAGCUGGUCUGAGAGGACAACCAGCCACACCGGAACUGAGACACGGUCCGGACUCCUACGGGAGGCAGCAGUGGGGAAUAUUGGACAAUGGGGGAAACCCUGAUCCAGCGACGCCGCGUGUGUGAAGAAGGCCUGCGGGUCGUAAAGCACUUUUAGUGGGGACAAAAAGUCACGAAUUAAUACUUUGUGAUCUUGAUUUAACUCACAGAAAAAGCACCGGCUAACUCUGUGCCAGCAGCCGCGGUAAUACAGAGGGUGCGAGCGUUAAUCGGAAUUACUGGGCGUAAAGCGCGCGUAGACGGUUUGGUAAGUCAGAUGUGAAAUCCCUGGGCUCAACCUGGGAACUGCAUUUGAUACUGCCUGGCUAGAGUAUGGAAGAGGGAAGUGGAAUUUCCGGUGUAGCGGUGAAAUGCGUAGAUAUCGGAAGGAACACCAGUGGCGAAAGCGACUUCCUGGUCCAAUACUGACGUUCAUGUGCGAAAGCGUGGGGAGCAAACAGGAUUAGAUACCCUGGUAGUCCACGCCAUA